UAUCUCUGAUCUUAGUCCUAUUUUUACUUUUAUUGUCAAAAGCACCCCAAAGUGCACUUCUGUUCCCAAAAUUUUGAACAAGUUAUAUAUAAAAAUCAUCAAAAAUUUAUUUUAAGUUAAAUAAUUGAAAGUUGCAAAAGAAUUGGCAAAACAUAAAAUUAUUUAUAAAAUGUGUGCGAAUAAAAAUUCAGGCUUUGUC
This 199-nucleotide long non-coding RNA is filed under the name Capsella rubella. Its description in RNAcentral is "long non-coding RNA (CRUB_LNC000804)". Lineage: Eukaryota; Viridiplantae; Streptophyta; Magnoliopsida; Brassicales; Brassicaceae. The record is from RNAcentral.